GACGAAGGAUUCAAGCGUUGUCCGGAUUUACUGGGCUUAAAGGGUGCGUAGGCGGAAAUAUAAGUCAGUGGUGAAAUCCCGCAGCUCAACUGCGGAACUGCCAUUGAAACUGCAUUUCUUGAAUACGGUUGAGGUAGAUGGAAUGUAACAUGUAGCGGUGAAAUGCUUAGAUAUGUUACAGAACUCCGAUUGCGAAGGCAGUCUACUAAGCCGUUAUUGACGCUGAGGCACGAAAGCGUGGGGAGCAAACAGG
This 253-nucleotide ribosomal RNA is filed under the name uncultured bacterium. RNAcentral describes it as "partial 16S ribosomal RNA". It matches the Rfam family "Bacterial small subunit ribosomal RNA", at positions 524 to 776 of the family's 1533-position model. The record is from RNAcentral.